AGCAUGAUGAUGAGAAAAUUUUGUGCUCCUGAAAUCAAAUUCAUGUGGAUAUAAUAUAUAUACCUUCAAAGUUCUCUGAAUUGCU
This is a small nucleolar RNA of Eutrema salsugineum, 85 nucleotides long. It matches the Rfam family "Small nucleolar RNA R160". Rfam says of the family: snoR160 is a C/D box small nucleolar RNA, which acts as a methylation guide for 25S ribosomal RNA in plants. snoR160 has been alternatively named snoZ270 in rice. NCBI's taxonomy places the organism in Eukaryota, Viridiplantae, Streptophyta, Magnoliopsida, Brassicales, Brassicaceae. The record is from Rfam.